RNAcentral lists this long non-coding RNA (3927 nucleotides) under Sus scrofa (pig). Its description in RNAcentral is "lncRNA (ENSSSCG00000061229.1)". The record is from RNAcentral. Lineage: Eukaryota; Metazoa; Chordata; Mammalia; Artiodactyla; Suidae.
CUGAUAUUACAAUUCUUUUUUAGUUGCCAAAUGUGUGGGUUUUUCUCCAUACUGACUCAUUCUCUGAUGCCAGAUUGGUGUCCUGCAUUUCAGUUCAAUUCUGAUACUUUCCACCUGGAGUUAGCAACAGAUCCCACAAAUAAGGGCUCAGUCCAUAAGAAGACCCCUAUUUUAGUUGCUAGUCACAAGUCCAAAUCACCUGUAUUUCUGAGUCCCCAUAUAUCAAGAGUUCCCACAAUCCCCUUCUCAGAUAACUUACUAGAACAACUCACAAGCUCAGGAAAACAGCCUACUCACUAUCACGGAUUUAUUAUGAAAAACACAACUCAGGAAUGGCCAAAUGAAAGAGAUGCAUAGGACAAGGUAUUAGGGCUGGUAGGUAGCAUGAAGCUUCCAUGACCUCUUCAUUGCAUGCCACCACCGAAUCCUGUCGUUUAAUUUUUAGAAGGGUCCGUUAAAUAGGAAAUUUUUUUUUCUUGGCAGGGGGGUGUGCACUUGGCAUCUGGAAGUUUCCAGGCCAUGGAUUGUAACCAGAGCCACAGCAGUGACAACACCAGAUCCUUAAUCCACUGAGCCACCAGGGAACUCCAUGUAGGAAUGUCUGAUUAUAUCAUUGACUAUUGAUGAUUAACUCCACUCCAGCUCCUCUCCCCUUCCUCAUAGGUUGAAGGUGGGGAUGAAAAUUCAACCUUCUAGUCACGCCUUGGUCUUUCUGGUGACAAACCCCUAACCGGAAGCUAUCUAGGGUCCCCCAGUCACCUGUCUUCUUGUUAGCAUACAGAAAUACACUUAUAUCUCUAGAGAUUUCAAAGGUCUCAAAAGCUCUUAUGUCAGGAAUCUAGGUCAAGGACCAACUAUCAGAACAAAAGAUGCUCCUAGCAUUCUAUUACUUAGGAAAUUAAAGGGGUUUUAGGAGCUCUGUGUCAGGAACUGGAAGUAGAGACCAAAUACAUAUUUCUUAUUAUGUCACACUAGCAUUAUCACAGUUUUGGAGAAAUUAAGCAUAGAAAAACGGCUGGAUGGUAGUAAAUCAAAAUAUUAACAGUGUGGUGAUUUUAAUUUUCCCUUAAUGCUGUGUUAUUCCAUUUUAAUUUACAAUGUACACUUUAUAAUUUUAUAAUGAAAAUAAAAGACAUUAGUGAAUUGUAAUUAAUUCAAUACUAGAUUUGUGUGAAGUAUUAUCUACAGAUCUUACUCAACUUGUGAUGGGGCUAAGUCCUGAUAAAGCCAUCAUAAAUUGAAAAAAGCAUAAGUAAAAAUGCAUUUAAUAUACAUAACCUACUGAACACUAUAGCUGAGCCUGUCCUACCAUCAAUGUAGAACACUUGCAUUCGCCAAUAGUUGGGUAAAGUCAUCUAACAUAAAGCCUAUUUUAUAAAAUGUGUUGAAUAGCUCAUGUAAUUUGUUGAAUACUCUACUAAAAGUGAAAACCAGAAUGCAUGUGUGUAUCAAUUAUUUACCCUCCUGGCUGCAUGGCUGACUUGGAGCUGCUGCUGUGCCCAGCAUCACUAAAAAGGGUCACCCCGCAUAUGGCUAGCCUGAGAAAAGAUCAGAAUUCACAAUUCAAAGUACAAUUCUACUGAAUUCAUAUCACAUUUGCAUAAUCAUAACAUUGGUAAAUUGUAAUUCAGAACCAAUAUAAGUCAGGGACCAUCUGUAUCUUGAAGUGGAAGAACAACUUUUACAAGAACUACUGAAAAAUAUUACAAACAAUAUACUUGACUAUAUAAAAUGAAAAACUUUAUCAGGUAAAAUAAUCAAUGAUAAAGUGAAAAGAUAAAAACAGAAUAUUUUUUCAAGUUAUUUAAUACAUUAGGCAUAAAGGCAUGUUAUUAAAAAAUGCAAAAACCUCAAUGGGAGAAAAUAAGUACAUGUGAUACAGUACAUAGUAAUUUAAAUUAUUUAUAUAGGAAAGGCUCUCGCAGAAACCUAGGAUGUGAUAAUUUCUUCAUGAGGAAAGUGAAGAUCAUAAAAGGUUAAGUUAGGAGUUCCUGCUGUGGCACAAAGGGAUUGGCAGCAUCUCUGAACAACCAGGACACAGGUUUGAUCCCUGGCCUGGCACAGUGUUAAAGGAUCUGGCAUUGUGGCAGCUGCCUUGUAGGUGGAAACUGAAGCACAGAUAUAAUCCCUGGCCCAGUAACUCCAUAUGGGGCGGCCAUAAAAGAAAAAAAUCACUUGCUUACAUGAAAAAGAACAAAGUUGAGACAUCCUUUUAACUUUGGACUCAGACCUCAAGCCCUCUCAUGCUGGUGCCUGAGGACAACCAGGGGCACUCACGUAUAUACAUAUGACUUUUUGUGGCUCACCCCUCCCAAACGAGUUCUUGACAUUAGAAUGAGAGGUGUUCUCCCUUUUCCGGAUACUAGACGCUCAUUAAAUUUAAAUUAAACUGUAUAACUUAGCUAUUGCUUAGUUCUAAAUAGAGCACACUUCUUUCAUUGUUUUUAAAGUUAACAAAGUAAUUACUCGUUCAUCUUCGUUAAAGUAAAAUAUAUUUUAAGCUGCUCUUCAGUCUAAUUAAAGAGCAUGUCUUAUGACAGUGAAUAUUUUGCUUAAUCAACUACUUAAUCUAGAAUAAACAGUAAGUAUUUUUGAUGACUUUCAUACAUUAAUCUGUGAAGUUGUCCUCUUUAUGUAUUCGAAUAUAAAUACUAUGCUCAGGCUUUAAACAUUUCUUGCUGUGAUAUUCCUGACUUCACCCCCCCCAUUGUUUAUGAUAGAUGUAAUCAUAAUCUCAAAGCACAUUUUCCUGCUAAAAACUUUGACUUAUUUCUUAGCAUUCUCUACAUACAAACUAGAAAUCAACAGGUAUCUUACAUUUUCCUCACUGUAGCAUUGUUUCUACCACAGUUAAAAAAAAUUGCCAUUAUAAUCUAAAUAAAAUAUAUGGCUAGCUUGUUUCAAUUUUAAACAAUGUUAAAAAAAUGAUUUUUUUAAAUGCGUAAUUGUUCCGGGGGAAAAAAAAAAAAACAACCCACAAUAAGCAGAAAUGAGUAUAAUUGCCAUUCCCAUAAUCAAUGAUUUAUAUGGUUUCCUUCCCAAAUUCCCAGAAAUGUGUUAUCACACAUUAUCAUUAGCAGCAGAAGCCCCUGUGUGGGCAUAAUAGACUCUCCAGGAGGUGGUUUCUUACUUAACUGUUUCCUAGCUGAUUCUGAUAAGCUUCCCUCCCAGAGGACAGGGGCACCUGUACAUAGUGCUUUUCAAACUUGAACAUGAACAAAUUGUGGCUCUUGUUAUAACGUAGAUUCUGGUUCAGUAGGUUUGGGGUGGGGCCUGAGAUUCUGCAUUUCCAAAGAGCUCCUGGGAAAUGCCAAUGCUGCUGGUCUACAGACCAUACUUUUCAGGACAAGGUUUUAACUACUUCUCAGCUCCUAAUUGCCAAUAGACACUGCACAUUUGUGAACCCAAUUAUGGGUUUGAUGCAUUUGUCUUUAUCUUGUCUGUGAUUGGGUUCUGUUCUGCUUUUAGAGAAUUUCCUCCAAUCAAAGGGGGAAAUUAAAGAAUUUAUAGAUCUAUUUGCCACAAUUAUAAAACUAGUGUUUCCUGAAAAUCUCUUUCCUAUAAUUAGAAAAUCAGGAAUGAUGGCAAGAAGAGAACUGGUCUCACAUGCUGAUCAGCUGUGGCAGUGAUAACUCCUGCAGAGACUCUAUGGUGGAACAAAUGAAGUCGUAGAAGAAUCCCUCUAACUCCCUGUGAACUUUUAUUCUUCAGUGGGACCUAAUCCCUAGAUACCUGGUACAUAGUGGUGCUGCUUCAUAUCUGCCUUAUUUUCUCUUGCUUGUCCUCCCUUCCCUUUCUUAAUUUCCCUUUAAAACCAGCUUUCAUGUUUCAACGUACAAAUUUUUCGGAUCACCUAUUUUGUGCAAAGUGGUCUAAGCACUGAAGAAAUAUGAAGGACCACAGUUUUAAAGCUAUUUAAUAUUUAUU